RNAcentral lists this unclassified non-coding RNA (331 nucleotides) under soil metagenome. RNAcentral's name for it is "partial contains 5.8S ribosomal RNA, internal transcribed spacer 2, and large subunit ribosomal RNA". The stretch from base 1 to 120 matches the Rfam family "5.8S ribosomal RNA", at positions 35 to 154 of the family's 154-position model. The record is from RNAcentral.
GAUGAAGAACGCAGCGAAAUGCGAUAAGUAAUGUGAAUUGCAGAAUUCAGUGAAUCAUCGAAUCUUUGAACGCACAUUGCGCCCCCUGGUAUUCCGGGGGGCAUGCCUAUUCGAGCGUCAUUUCACCACUCAAGCCUCGCUUGGUAUUGGGCAACGCGGUCCGCCGCGUGCCUCAAAUCGACCGGCUGGGUCUUCUGUCCCCUAAGCGUUGUGGAAACUAUUCGCUAAAGGGUGUUCGGGAGGCUACGCCGUAAAACAACCCCAUUUCUAAGGUUGACCUCGGAUCAGGUAGGGAUACCCGCUGAACUUAAGCAUAUCAAUAAGCGGAGGA